CUGAUAUGCUUAAGAAAUCCAACUGCAAGAGGAUCUCUAAUUAUGAUUUAAAAACUCAAAAUACAGUGGAUCUGUUAUGUAAUUUUGUUAUCGACUCAUCGUGCAUGGAGAAGCUCAUUUUGGCCUCAGCCAACAAAGCAUUGUGGCCGUUACAAUUUUAUCAUUAUCCUCAGGGAUUUUCUAGAACUUGGGAAUUAUUUGGACUAUAAAUUGGGGAUUAGCCAC
This 225-nucleotide unclassified non-coding RNA is filed under the name Hevea brasiliensis (rubber tree). The record is from RNAcentral. Lineage: Eukaryota; Viridiplantae; Streptophyta; Magnoliopsida; Malpighiales; Euphorbiaceae.